This 776-nucleotide long non-coding RNA is filed under the name Lathyrus oleraceus (garden pea). RNAcentral's name for it is "Pisum sativum (pea) long non-coding RNA (PSAT_LNC015470)". The record is from RNAcentral. Lineage: Eukaryota; Viridiplantae; Streptophyta; Magnoliopsida; Fabales; Fabaceae.
UGACACCAAAUCCUUGAGUUGAGGAGAGAUUGCUACAAGAUUGAUCCGGAUAGUCUUCCUGGAAGCCAUAACCUGUUCAACAGAGCAAAGCUAAAUUCCUAAGUCCUUGAAAUGGUUAGUAUGAUGAUGUUAUGAUGUUAUGAUGUUAUGAUGUUAUGCAAGCACAAGCAUGUCACACAACAAUUAUUCCUAGGUUUUAAGGCUUGCAUGAGUUCCAUAGGUAAGUACCCUCCCCACUGAAGUUUGGUUGGUUCAACCUGUCCUAGAAUAGUAACCGGGUUCUAGAAGGAUCUCAGAUCAUCGACCUUUCUUUAGGUCCACUUCAGUGCAACACCAAGUGGUUGACCGAAGCUUUCCUAAAGUCCAAUCUCAAAGAGUGUAGCAUCGAGUAUCAACCAACCUCAGUCGGAACCGAAGUCAGUUAUCUCACUACUUUCUAAUGGCUAGGAUAAGUCAAUUAGGGUUCUAAAGGUCUGGUUAAUGCUUUGAUGACACCACGCGGAAGCCAAAUUUUUUCUCAAGUAACAUGAGGAACAUUAGGACAACCAAAGUGUCACAUUAACCGUAGCUAUCAUUUUAACCAUUCCAGUAUACGUCGGAUAGUCGCGAUGAUCUAUUGCUACUUACCUAAGGUACACUAGAUCCGGGUGUAGGAUCUUUCACUCAAAGCCCCCCUUAAAAGAAGGAAAACAUAAAUGAUAUUUUUUUUUUUUAAGAUGGACCUCUCUUUUUAGUCCCCAGCAGAGUCGCCAGUUCUGUCAUACGGUGAACUGGAC